RNAcentral lists this transfer RNA (61 nucleotides) under Cherax quadricarinatus. Its description in RNAcentral is "tRNA-Leu". The record is from RNAcentral. Lineage: Eukaryota; Metazoa; Arthropoda; Malacostraca; Decapoda; Parastacidae.
AUCUAAAAUGACAGACAGAUGUAUAGGAUUUAAGCUCCUACCAGGAAGACCUUCUUUUAGA